AGUGAACGCUGGCGGUAGGCCUAACACAUGCAAGUCGAACGGCAGCACAGUAAGAGCUUGCUCUUACGGGUGGCGAGUGGCGGACGGGUGAGGAAUACAUCGGAAUCUACUUUUUCGUGGGGGAUAACGUAGGGAAACUUACGCUAAUACCGCAUACGACCUACGGGUGAAAGCAGGGGAUCUUCGGACCUUUCGCGAUUGAAUGAGCCGAUGUCGGAUUAGCUAGUUGGCGGGGUAAAGGCCCACCAAGGCGACGAUCCGUAGCUGGUCUGAGAGGAUGAUCAGCCACACUGGAACGGAGACACGGUCCAGAAUCCUACGGGAGGCAGCAGUGGGGAAUAUUGGACAAUGGGCGCACGCCUGAUCCAGCCAUACCGCGUAGGUGAAGAAGGCCUUCGGGUUGUAAAGCCCUUUUGUUGGGAAAGAAAAGCAGCAGGUUAAUACCCCGCUGUUCUGACGGUACCCAAAGAAUAAGCACCGGCUAACUUCGUG
RNAcentral lists this ribosomal RNA (492 nucleotides) under uncultured bacterium. RNAcentral's name for it is "partial 16S ribosomal RNA". It matches the Rfam family "Bacterial small subunit ribosomal RNA", at positions 29 to 507 of the family's 1533-position model. The record is from RNAcentral.